RNAcentral lists this ribosomal RNA (497 nucleotides) under uncultured bacterium. RNAcentral describes it as "partial 16S ribosomal RNA". It matches the Rfam family "Bacterial small subunit ribosomal RNA", at positions 28 to 507 of the family's 1533-position model. The record is from RNAcentral.
GAUGAACGCUGGCGGCGUGCCUAAUACAUGCCAGUCGAGCGAACAGAUGAGGAGCUUGCUCCUCUGACGUUAGCGGCGGACGGGUGAGUAACACGUGGAUAACCUACCUAUAAGACUGGGAUAACUUCGGGAAACCGGAGCUAAUACCGGAUAAUAUAUUGAACCGCAUGGUUCAAUAGUGAAAGACGGUUUUGCUGUCACUUAUAGAUGGAUCCGCGCCGCAUUAGCUAGUUGGUAAGGUAACGGCUUACUAAGGCAACGAUGCGUAGCCGACCUGAGGGAGUGAUCGGCCACACUGGAACGGGGACACGGACCAGACUCCUAAGGGAGGGAGCAGUAGGGAAUCUUCCGCAAUGGGCGAAAGCCUGACGGAGCAACGCCGCGUGAGUGAUGAAGGUCUUCGGAUCGUAAAAUUCUGUUAUGAGGGAAGAACAAAUGUGUAAGUAACUAUGCACGUCUUGACGGUACCUAAUCAGAAAGCCACGGCUAACUACGUG